This 274-nucleotide small RNA is filed under the name Caenorhabditis elegans. RNAcentral describes it as "Unclassified non-coding RNA Y53G8B.10". The record is from RNAcentral. Lineage: Eukaryota; Metazoa; Nematoda; Chromadorea; Rhabditida; Rhabditidae.
GAAACCCUUGCCGGCAACCAACAAUUCACCAACUGGCUCACCUAUUUUUGGCUGGCGUCAGUGGCGAUGUGUGUCUCGGUACAGUUGAUUUAUCUCAACAAAGCUCUGGAUAUCUUUAAUACUUCAAUGGUGACACCGAUUUAUUACGUCUUCUUCACCACAUUCGUCAUUCUUGCCUCAUCGAUUCUGUAUAAGGAGUGGUCUUGUCUCGGAGCAUCUGAUGUUAUUGGAAAUUUUGUCGGCUUUUUGACGACUAUUAUCGGCAUUUUCCAGG